This 481-nucleotide ribosomal RNA is filed under the name uncultured bacterium. Its description in RNAcentral is "bacterial SSU rRNA". It matches the Rfam family "Bacterial small subunit ribosomal RNA", at positions 8 to 518 of the family's 1533-position model. The record is from RNAcentral.
AGAGUUGAUCCUGGCUCAGAACGAACGCUGGCGGCAGGCUUAACACAUGCAAGUUGAACGGGAUUGAUUGGUAGCUUGCUAUUAAUCAUGAGAGUAGCGCACUGGUGAGUAACACGUGGGAACGUACCUAUUGGUGGGGGACAACAGUUGGAAACGACUGCUAAUACCGCAUAAGCCCUGAGGGGGAAAGAUUUAUUGCCGAUAGAUCGGCCCGCGGAAGAUUAGGUAGUAGGUGGGGUAACGGCCUACCUAGCCGACGAUCUAUAGCUGGUCUAAGAGGACGAUCAGCCACAUUGGAACUGAGACACGGUCCAGACUCCUACGGGAGGCAGCAGUGAGGAAUAUUGGGCAAUGGAGGCAACUCUGACCCAGCCAUGCCGCGUGAGUGAAGAAGGUUUUCGGAUUGUAAAGCUCUUUCAGAUGAGAAGAUGAUGACGGUAUCAUCAGAAGAAGCACCGGCUAACUUCGUGCCAGCCGCUGC